This 19-nucleotide non-coding RNA is filed under the name Arabidopsis thaliana (thale cress). Lineage: Eukaryota; Viridiplantae; Streptophyta; Magnoliopsida; Brassicales; Brassicaceae. The record is from RNAcentral.
GCACCAGUGGUCUAGUGGU